Molecule: ribosomal RNA, 253 nt
Filed under: uncultured bacterium
Lineage: Bacteria
Description: partial 16S ribosomal RNA
Rfam family: Bacterial small subunit ribosomal RNA
Source: RNAcentral
UACGUAGGCAGCAAGCGUUGUUCGGAGUUACUGGGCGUAAAGGGUGUGUAGGCGGUUGUUUAAGUUUGGUGUGAAAUCUCCCGGCUCAACUGGGAGGGUGCGCCGAAUACUGAAUGACUAGAGUGCGGGAGAGGAAAGUGGAAUUCCUGGUGUAGCGGUGAAAUGCGUAGAUAUCAGGAGGAACACCGGUGGUGUAGACGGCUUUCUGGGCCGUAACUGACGCUGAGACACGAAAGCGUGGGUAGCAAACAGG